Molecule: transfer RNA, 87 nt
Filed under: Candidatus Rokuibacteriota bacterium
Lineage: Bacteria; Candidatus Rokuibacteriota
Also listed under: 1 other name
Description: Candidatus Rokubacteria bacterium tRNA-Leu
Rfam family: tRNA
About the family: Transfer RNA (tRNA) molecules are approximately 80 nucleotides in length.
Source: RNAcentral
GGGGGAGUGUCGGAACAGGUAGACGAUACGGACUCAAAAUCCGUUGCCCGCAAGGGCGUAGGGGUUCGAGUCCCCUCUCCCCUACCA